GACGAGGGGUGCAAACGUUAUUCGGAAUGAUUGGGCGUAAAGGGUGCGCAGGCGGUAUGCUAAGUCAACUGUUAAAUUCCUCAGCCUAACUGAGGGUCAGCGGUAGAUACUGGCGUACUUGAGAGUGGUAGAGAGAAGUGGAAUUCUCGGAGUAGCGGUAAAAUGCGUAGAUCUCGAGAGGAACACCGAUGGCGAAGGCAGCUUCUUGGACCAUUUCUGACGCUCAUGCACGAAAGCGCGGGGAGCAAACAGG
RNAcentral lists this ribosomal RNA (253 nucleotides) under uncultured bacterium. Its description in RNAcentral is "partial 16S ribosomal RNA". It matches the Rfam family "Bacterial small subunit ribosomal RNA", at positions 524 to 776 of the family's 1533-position model. The record is from RNAcentral.